UGCGCCCUCUUAUUCUUCAUGCAAAAAAAUUUUUUCAUAAAUUUUUCUCAUACCCAAAAGAUUUUCUAUAUCCUCAUCUGAUUUCUUUUAAAUUAAAAAUUAGUUAUUUAAAUUUAAGUUCAAAUGGAUUUGAAUUUGAAUGAAAAUCUAGAAUCCAAAUUGAGUUGGACUCUUCUCUUCAUGCCACCAUCUUUCUUCAUGCAUAAAGUAUUUUUGCAUGAGAUUUUUUAUGCCAUUCUAAUGUUGGUUGAUCCCUCUCUAAGUUCAUAAGAUGAGGAUAAAAUUUAGUUAAAAAUUUAAUUCAAAUUUGAUUUGAAUUGGUGAUAAAGAUCAACCAACGUUUGA
Molecule: long non-coding RNA, 345 nt
Filed under: Elaeis guineensis (African oil palm)
Lineage: Eukaryota; Viridiplantae; Streptophyta; Magnoliopsida; Arecales; Arecaceae
Description: long non-coding RNA (EGUI_LNC070993)
Source: RNAcentral